CAUGACUGGAAGGAUCCACCCGCUAUGCGCUCCGCCUCAUGCAACGUAUAGACUAUAAAUACGGACCCAGACUCAGAGGUGCGCCUUCUCUGUAGCUGCUCCUGAGCUGUGGAAUGCACUCCCAGCAGAAAUCUGCAAUCUUAAUUCUUUAUUGACCUUCAGGAGAGCCCUUAAAACCUAUCUGUUUGGUCUGGCCUUACAGGGUUUUAAUUAGUUUAAAUUGCUUUAAUGUUCUAACCUGGUUUUCAGGGUUUUUAUUGUUCUGAUUGUUUAAUUGUUUUUUAAGAUGUUUUAAUUGUUAAUUGGUGUUUAUAUUUAUAUUUCUGUUUUAAUUGUUAUUGGUUUUAAUGGUUUCUGUUUUCAUUGUAAACCACCCUGAGCCUUUUCGGAAGGGCGGUAUACAAAUCAAAUGAAUGAAUGAAUGAAUGAAUAAAACAUGUAGGGCAACA
Molecule: long non-coding RNA, 449 nt
Organism: Hemicordylus capensis (graceful crag lizard)
Lineage: Eukaryota; Metazoa; Chordata; Lepidosauria; Squamata; Cordylidae
Exons: 2
Source: RefSeq, a predicted model, not a curated record